Molecule: ribosomal RNA, 433 nt
Filed under: uncultured bacterium
Lineage: Bacteria
Description: partial 16S ribosomal RNA
Rfam family: Bacterial small subunit ribosomal RNA
Source: RNAcentral
AACGAACGCUGGCGGCAUGCCUAACACAUGCAAGUCGAACGAGACCUUCGGGUCUAGUGGCGCACGGGUGCGUAACGCGUGGGAACCUGCCCUUAGGUUCGGCAUAACUCCCCGAAUGGGGUGCUAAUACCGGAUAAUGUCUUCGGACCAAAGAGUUAUCGCCUUUGGAUGGGCCCGCGUUGGAUUAGCUAGUUGGUAGGGUAAAAGCCUACCAAGGCGACGAUCGAUAGCUGGUUUGUGAGGAUGAUCCGCCACACUGGGACUAAGACACGGCCCAGACUCCUACGGGAGGCAGCAGUGGGGAAUAUUGGAAAAUGGGCGAAGGCCUGAACCAGCACUGCCGCGUGAGUGAUGAAGGUCUUAGGGUUGUAAAGCUCUUUUACCCGGGAUGAUAAUGACAGUACCGGGAGAAUAAGCUCCGGCUAACUCCGUG